CUGGGAUACAAGUGGCCUGCACAGUGCAAGGACACAUUAACGAAACAGCACACAGCACUGCAACACAAAGUGCUGAGUGAAUGCAGACCACUGCGAAUGUUGGUGUCUUUGGUCAAAAGAACGCAACGCAGCAACAAACAACCACACCUUUUUGACCUUUGGGAACAAGCCAGCAGUGGAACGGGCCCACCACCAGGCCUACAAGGCAAGAGGGAAACAUGCCAGCCCGUGGGAAGAGGGUUGGAAGCUGAGAGGAUCAGAGACAUCAAAGGACCUCAUCGUUUUUCAUACGCAGCUGAGCAGUGCUGGAGGCUACAGCACAUGCCAAGCCAUUCACCGAUCCAAAGUCCCACAGAGGCAGCAGGACCCUAAAGGGAACCCAGGUCAGCCAUAAACCCAGGCGGUCUCGCUGAUUUUAGCUGCUAAGUGCCAACUGCACCUCACAUCUCGUUGCAGUGGCCUGACGAGGCAAUGCAGGAAACAUGACAGGACAGUACAGAGAUGGAAACUCCACAGCAGUCGGCAUCUGUGCCCAAAAUGGACCCUCAGCCCGGCUCCUACCUGUACCUCACAGUCAAGCUCCUCAUUAGCAUUUGCAAAAGCAGCUCAGCUGUCACAUGCUCUUUCCCCAGCAAAGGUCCAAACAGAGAAUAUACCAGCAGAGUGCAUGUCAUGUGUACUGUGAAAGACUGCAUUGCAAACAGGCAGGCUUGCUGGGAACACAGCAAACAGGGCAUGAGCAAGCAGCUCGUUACCAUGAUGUCUACCUUGGAGUUUGUGUGACACUACCUUCCUGUAAGGCAGGAUGGCAAAUCCCUCUUUCAACGGCAUCAGAAUUCACCUUUUGAGCAUCCCCAGGAGCACAAAAAUCUUCCUGAUCAUGACUGGGGUGGACAAGUAACAGUCAUCUUCAGGAGUCCCACAGCUACAUCUAAUCUCUGAGCUGACACUCAGACACUUUGAAGCAAAGAAAACAUGAAGAGAAAAAGCAGACAGCAAAGGUGCUGUAGAUGCUGCAAGGACAGCACACCAGACAGCUGGGGUUCACUCUCAGGUUCACCAGUCCUCUCUCAACACUCAGUUGGGAAAGUGCAGGGCAGAAUAAAGGGCAGUACGUGCAGCAAAGGCCAACAGGGAAGCCAGCACAACUUUGAAAUCAACGUAUCUGAACUGACCUCCAUGAAAAGAAACACGAAGUGGAUUACGGCAGCUUCUUUGCUAAGAGACAGUCCACCAAGAUAUGGGAGCCUUUUACAGAGUCACAGAUACUUCUGAAGAACUGACAAAGAACAAGGCAGUGAAUCCAUCACUUCAAAGCCUGAGUCUACGGAAGUGCUCUUAACUUGCAGCACCAAGAAACGUUACUGGAAUUGGAGAAUGGAGUGAUAAAUGGAUUAAGCCAGCACUGCAGAGCCUCAGGAGAGGAGGACAGCUAUCAGAUCUGGAACCUCACCACUCUUUUCUGUCUUUUAUUCCUGUUCUUUGACUUGAUGGAAUGAGGGUGAAGCAACACAGCCCUCUAGAGCUGGCAAGAUCCAAGACAACCCAUUACUCCAUUGACAGGCAUCGGUGUGCAUGGGGCCCAUUUGCAAACAGCAACUUCAGACCAGGUACAGCUGAAGACAAAGAUGGCACAAAUGAGGAGUAUUAACUGCUAAUGUUCCUGGCAAUUAGCAAGCAAAUGAAAACUAGUGCUACAAAAACAUAAAGUUUACAUCAUAGUUAAAAGAGUAGCUGAGCUCCAGUGCAACAACAAAGGAGACUUCUCACAUGCACACCAUCACCAUCUCACUGCUUCAGAAACGCUCAUCUGGCCACACAUUUACCACUUCCCUGAGGAUUUCUUUUGUCACAUUUCCCUUGAAUUCAAGACUGCACUCCCCACCCCCCUUCUUUCCUUUUUUCUUUCUUUCUUUUUCUUUAAAACACAAGAACCUUGUUCCUGCACCCUUCUUACAGUGCAUACCCUUAUUCCCUCCCAAGGAUUAUCUGUUUGCUUCCCAGCUAAAAUACUGUCCAAGGCCAUUUCCUCCAACCGCCUGCAGUGAAAUGAACCCAGUGCCAGCCCUAUUAAGAUCAACUAUUCUUCUCAUUUACUCGAGCCAUCCCAUUAGUUAUCAGUAGUGACUUUGAAAGGAACAGAGAGUUUUAUACCCUGCUCAGCUCUCACUGCAGCAGGCACUUACAAAUAACUGAAGCUUUGUUUUCAGAAAAAAAGUAGCCUUGCUUUUGAGCUGACAGGACGAUCCAUAAAGUCACACAGCAACCAAAAUAUUCCAGGCCAUUCAGCUCAGUGGAAGCUUGCAGCACGGCUGCACAGUGAGUGCCUGGUCUCUGCCGUCACAUGAAGCAAUGCUGUUCAGCAUCCUGGAUGGUGCUGCAGGUGGGAGCUCUCAGCAAAGGAGACGGCCAUUGACCACACAGCUAUCAGCAAAGAGUAGGAAAGCUGAAAACCCCAGGCACGGCAAGGAGAUAUGCUUUCCAAAGACAAACAAACAACAACAAAAAAACCACACAAGAAAAUACACUAUAAACCACAGAGCAUACAUUCUAAGACAGCAAAAAAGAUUUGUUUUUCCUUAAUUCCAAACCACAGAGAGUGCUGCUGUCAUAACCCACUGUCACUGCUGAACCAUGUCACUUCCAAGGUUAAGAACACUGAUGACAGAACCUUUUAUAUUGUCCACUUCAGGCGAGUGCACCUCUGGGAAGGAACAAAGAGAAGCAAUCUCUUUCCAGCUACUGAAAGAAGGCAGCCCACAAAAUGUGUUCUUCUCAGGUACCGAGUGAGCACUGUAAUGUCUAAGGUACUAUAAAUCCUCUGGAAUUAAGAAGAGUCCAAUAGAAUGCUCUAGCUCUUCCAGUAAGAUUGGUAAUUAAUACAGACUAGGCUGACCCUUCCAAUUGCAGGGAUUUAGGCAGCUUGUCAAUAUAGCAAGCAAGAGAAAGGACGAACAUGUGAAUACUGCAAUGAAAGAUCUGCUUAUCUAGCUAAAUGCACAAGCCCCACCACUGUGAGCAGCAGGAACAGAAUGCAGAAAAGCUCUUUGGAAUAACUGUGAAGCAACAGAUACUUUUCUAAAGCAGCCUGGCAGUACCACCACCUUCUGAAACAAAGGAGGCUGCAGCCUCUCUGACAACCCAUGAAAAAUGGUGUCUAAAAACAAGUUAACAUGAAGUACGAUAUCACAAAAGGAAUAUAUAAGACCUGAAACACAGUGCUCAGCUUCCACAGUGAGGGGCACGCUACCAAUUUCGACCAAAGUGUUCAUUUACAGUGUGUCAAAAGCUAAUCCAGGUCAAUUCACUACCUAAAAGUCAAGGUUUUGAGAAACGCCUGUUCUUUUCUUGCUAAGCAUGCUCCCUUUCCCGAAGCACAAUCAAUGCCAAUCAAACCCUGCACACGAGCAGAGCUCUAGUGGAGAGAUGCAGCCCAUACAAAUGAAAAAUGCCACAAGCUCCCCUAGAAAGGCAGUCCUGACAAAGCCUACAGCAUGGCUCUUCCAUUAGAGCCUUUCAUAAAACACAGCCAGAGUGUGAAUACUGAGCGCUGGCUAGAAAGCCCUCUCGAGCCAUAAAUCACAUGGUACAUGCACAGCAUAAGUGGAGUUUAUUCAUGACGGACAGUAUUUCAACAGGGCUUGAUAGAUGGCUGAGGAAAAGGAGCCAGGCUUUAUGGAAGAUAGAACUAGUUACACAAGAGAUUCUUCAUUAGUGAGAAAUCCUUAAUGAUAUGAAGCUUAGCCAAGCGGAGUCAGCCUGAAAGCUGGGGCUGUCCUGCUCUUCUCUGUCAACAAAGCAGGCACCAUCACCUCCCUGCAGCUUGCUGCCUGCAACUCCUCCGUGCUAGCGCUGAUACCGAGCAAGAAAAGCACAAUAAGUCAGUCCACGCACCACUACACAGCAACUCCAAUGACAAACAGCUCCGGUCUGAAUUUACACCAGCACCAUUAGAAGGAGAUGUUGGACUGCACUAAAAGCAGAGCGCUGCAGCUCAAGCGAGGCAAUGGAAAAAGAAGUCUCGUGACACCCUACAUGAUGGAAGGUUAAUUGCUCAGACCUACUCCUCUAGGACACCAAACCCACUUCUGACUACCACUCCUACCCACAGAAGGGUACGUGGGAGAAAAGCCAGCCUGGUCCUGUUUAACAACUGCUCCCAGCUGUAAUCUGAACCACUAAAUUUGAUUCCUCAAACACCUGUUAUUCUUGGACAAGCUCCUCUUGCACCAUACAUCAGAAGAAUAAAAUGAAACCUAUGCAACACAGAAAGAGAGGGCAGCCAGCACGGUCUGUUAUACUACUGUAGGGAAAUGAGACCAUGACACUGGAUGCACCAUCACUUGAGGACUGAUGCCUGCCAGAGCAAAACUAGACACCAGCAUUGCAACACCAGCACUCUGUGACCUACGAAGUGCUGAUGAGGAUAGCUUAUAAAGGAAAGGCCACAUCACUUCCUGUCUAAACUUGCUACACAAAUAUCACAGCUGCAACACAGGCUUGGGAUACAACUUUCCUUACAGAGUCAAGGAGAACAGAACAAUCUCCUUCCUCGCAGCACAAAGCUGCAGUACCAGCUUGCAGUCUGCUGCUGCAGAACAGAAGCAAAAUACCCUGGAAAAUGUCUACAUGAGCACUUUGCUAUCUCGUAACACAGGCAGAGAGUUGAUGGUGCCCUCUCCUGGCAAUAAGGGCAUGAGAGAUGUUACUGGCAAAAAAAAAAAUCACAAGAUUUCAACAAAAGUAAGAACUUUCAGAAACACCAAAGCUUACUGGAAAAAGAUAGGGUUUAACAACAAUAAUUUCCCUUUUCCUUCUCCUUCCCACACACACAGGCAGGAGGGCCAUGUGGAGCACUAGAUGCCUAAAGGCAGUUUAAACAGACUCAUGUAUUAUUGCUAGUGACUCACACACCAAAUCAGAUGCUACUAGUAGCUGCAUUUCUGCUAAAAGCAGGACUGAGCUCACCAAACCCUCUGCCAGCACACCAAAGAGAUGGUGUUUCUGUGGGAAGGACGAGCAAGCACAAUGAAAAUAAGUCACAAAAGGUACCUGGACCCUGAUUAAGGGUUGGAUUAGAAACCUCACUGUCUCAUUAAUUUGUUUCACUUCUUCCAAGUGUUAAUUUAAUCGAUAU
Molecule: long non-coding RNA, 5137 nt
Filed under: Gallus gallus (chicken)
Lineage: Eukaryota; Metazoa; Chordata; Aves; Galliformes; Phasianidae
Description: long non-coding RNA NONGGAT009291
Source: RNAcentral